Long non-coding RNA from Zea mays, 534 nucleotides. RefSeq lists it as uncharacterized. Lineage: Eukaryota; Viridiplantae; Streptophyta; Magnoliopsida; Poales; Poaceae. The transcript has 4 exons. The record is from RefSeq and is a predicted model, not a curated record.
CCAGCCAACCCUAGAGCCUCUCCAGUCUCCACUGCUCGGCCGCCGCCUGCCGCAGCCCGCCGUCCACUGGUCCCGCCUCCCGGCGUCCGCUCCACGCCUCCACUGCUCCCGGCGUCCGCUCCAUUGCUACCAUCGUCCGGCGUUCUGCUCCUGCGCCCUCCCUUUGAUUCGUUGCCAGUUGUAGUGUCCGGGCAGAUUUGAGCUGUGGCAGCAAGCAAGGAUUGACGAAGCGUGCGUUCCCAUCGCACCACCAUGGGCUACACAGAGAUCGACAUCCGCCCCUCUGGGAGCGGCAAGAUGUGAUAGAUAUUAGUAUGAAAGAUAAAAACUAGAAUGCUAUGCCUGUCAGAGGAGCUUUCUUCAGUUUCAGAACACACCUCUCCAUCUUUCGGUGCUUGGUGGAUCACCGUCUAAACGAUCCACCACCAGAACCGCCCAACCCCAAGAUAGGCAGCUCCAUCUCAGUCGUUGUACCCGUUCAAUUCACACCAAGUGUCAUUCUUCACUAGAGUGUCAUUCUUCACUUUAUGAUUC